GCUAGUGUGGUGCAGUGUUUUGAGUGUUGGACUAGGAUACUGGAGGCCAGGGUUCAAAUCCCCACUCGGGCA
Non-coding RNA from Phrynosoma platyrhinos (Desert horned lizard), 72 nucleotides. Lineage: Eukaryota; Metazoa; Chordata; Lepidosauria; Squamata; Phrynosomatidae. The record is from the annotation of a GenBank genome assembly.